UGAGGAAUAUUGGUCAAUGGGCGCAAGCCUGAACCAGCCAUGCCGCGUGCAGGAAGACGGUCCUCUGGAUUGUAAACUGCUUUUAUUCGGGAAUAAACCACAUUACGUGUAGUGUGCUGAAUGUACCGAAGGAAUAAGGAUCGGCUAACUCCGUGCCAGCAGCCGCGGUAAUACGGAGGAUCCAAGCGUUAUCCGGAGUUAUUGGGUUUAAAGGGUGCGUAGGCGGCUUAUUAAGUCAGGGGUGAAAGACGGUGGCUCAACCAUCGCAGUGCCCUUGAUACUGAUGAGCUUGAAUGGACUAGAGGUAGGCCGAAUGUGUCAAGGAGCGGUGAAAUGCAUAGAUAUGUCACAGAGCACCGAUUGCGAAGGCAGCUUACUAUGGUUUAAUUGACGCUGAGGCACGAAAGCGUGGUGAUCAUACA
RNAcentral lists this ribosomal RNA (422 nucleotides) under uncultured bacterium. RNAcentral's name for it is "bacterial SSU rRNA". It matches the Rfam family "Bacterial small subunit ribosomal RNA", at positions 355 to 774 of the family's 1533-position model. The record is from RNAcentral.